CAAUAAGAGUGUUUAUGGCACUCUUCAAAAAAUCCAUACCCACCUUGUGUGCAACGUAAGAAGAAAAAAAGAAGAUGCGAGUCAUGGGGAAACCCAAGUCUUGCACCCUUUCUUUUUUCUUUUCCACAUACACCUUUCUAUUAGUUCCUAUUGUCUGAAGCUGUUAGAGAAUGACUAAUUCUUAAACA
RNAcentral lists this unclassified non-coding RNA (188 nucleotides) under soil metagenome. Its description in RNAcentral is "partial internal transcribed spacer 1". The record is from RNAcentral.